GCCGCCAUAGCUCAGUCGGUUAGAGCGUGGGUCUAAUAAGCCCAAGGUCGCAGGUUCGACCCCUCCUGGCGGCA
Molecule: transfer RNA, 74 nt
Filed under: Parascaris univalens
Lineage: Eukaryota; Metazoa; Nematoda; Chromadorea; Rhabditida; Ascarididae
Also listed under: 1 other name
Rfam family: tRNA
About the family: Transfer RNA (tRNA) molecules are approximately 80 nucleotides in length. Their secondary structure includes four short double-helical elements and three loops (D, anti-codon, and T loops). Further hydrogen bonds mediate the characteristic L-shaped molecular structure. tRNAs have two regions of fundamental functional importance: the anti-codon, which is responsible for specific mRNA codon recognition, and the 3' end, to which the tRNAs corresponding amino acid is attached (by aminoacyl-tRNA synthetases). tRNAs cope with the degeneracy of the genetic code in two manners: having more than one tRNA (with a specific anti-codon) for a particular amino acid; and 'wobble' base-pairing, i.e. permitting non-standard base-pairing at the 3rd anti-codon position.
Source: Rfam by way of RNAcentral